CCCGGCUGCUCGGAGUUGGUCCUGCGGGUGGCAGGUGAGGACAGAACCAGGUAGCAGUGGCAGCAGCGCAAGCCACGGAAGCAGGCACAGAGGGAUUUCACCAAGCGAAGCAGGCAGCCUCUGAAACGGGAAGCAGCAGCAGCAGAUGACGGGAACGAUGGAUAUCCGGGACAGCCAGGAACGUGAAGAGGACCUGAAGGAACACGCAGAACGGCUCUUUUCAAGGCACCAGCAGGUGUUUGUCAAGAAUGGAGUUCCUAACCCAGGAUCUUCGCUCCCGUUCAGCUUUGAGCUGCAAUCUUUAAGGCACAAUCCUAUGGAAGUCUAGACAGAAAAAAGGCCUCUGACUUCUAGCGUGCGCCAGCCGUCAUGCAUAGGAUUGUGCCCUCAGCAGCUCAGUGAUGAGUGUGCUUGAUAGGAGCUCCAGGGAAGAAAGGAAGGAAGGAAG
Elgaria multicarinata webbii is the source of this 448-nucleotide long non-coding RNA. RefSeq lists it as uncharacterized. The record is from RefSeq and is a predicted model, not a curated record. NCBI's taxonomy places the organism in Eukaryota, Metazoa, Chordata, Lepidosauria, Squamata, Anguidae. The transcript has 3 exons.